RNAcentral lists this unclassified non-coding RNA (319 nucleotides) under plant metagenome. Its description in RNAcentral is "partial contains 5.8S ribosomal RNA, internal transcribed spacer 2, and large subunit ribosomal RNA". The stretch from base 1 to 104 matches the Rfam family "5.8S ribosomal RNA", at positions 51 to 154 of the family's 154-position model. The record is from RNAcentral.
AAAUGCGAUAAGUAAUGUGAAUUGCAGAAUUCAGUGAAUCAUCGAAUCUUUGAAUGCACAUUGCGCCCGCCAGUAUUCUGGCGGGCAUGCCUGUUCGAGCGUCAUUACAACCCUCAGGCCCCCGGGCCUGGCGUUGGGGAUCGGCGGAAGCCCCCUGCGGGCACAACGCCGUCCCCCAAAUACAGUGGCGGUCCCGCCGCAGCUUCCAUUGCGUAGUAGCUAACACCUCGCAACUGGAGAGCGGCGCGGCCACGCCGUAAAACACCCAACUUCUGAAUGUUGACCUCGAAUCAGGUAGGAAUACCCGCUGAACUUAAGC